RNAcentral lists this ribosomal RNA (468 nucleotides) under uncultured bacterium. Its description in RNAcentral is "partial 16S ribosomal RNA". It matches the Rfam family "Bacterial small subunit ribosomal RNA", at positions 28 to 507 of the family's 1533-position model. The record is from RNAcentral.
GACGAACGCUGGCGGCGUGCUUAACACAUGCAAGUCGAACGGAAAGACCCUGCUCUUGUUGGGUGCUCGAGUGGCGAACGCGUGAGUAACACAUGAGUAACCUGCCCUUAACUUUGUGAUAACUUCAGGAAACUGGGGCUCAUACCGGAUAGGAGCUCCUGCUGCAUGGUGGGGGUUGGAAAGUUUCGGCGGUUGGGGAUGGAUUCGCGGCUUAUCAGCUUGUUGGGGGGGUAGUGGCUUACCAAGGCUUCGACGGGUAGCCGGCCUGAGAGGGUGACCGGCGACAUUGGGACUGAGAGGAGGCACAGACUGCUACGGGAGGGAGCAGUGGGGAAUAUUGCACAAUGGGCGGAAGGCUGAUGCAGCAACGCCGCGUGCGGUAUGACGGCCUUCGGGUUGUAAAACGCUUGCGCCUGUGACGAAGCGUGAGUGAAGGUAAUGGGUAAAGAAGCACCGGCUAACUACGUG